AGCAGCCGCGGUAAUUCCAGCUCCAAUAGCGUAUAUUAAAGUUGUUGCAGUUAAAAAGCUCGUAGUUGAAUUUCGGGGUUAGCAGGUCGGUCGUGCCAUCGGUAUGAACUGGUCUCGCUGAUCCCUCCCUCUUGACGAACUGUGAUGCCAUUAAUUUGGUGUCGCAGGGAAUCAGGACUGUUACUUUGAAAAAUUAGAGUGUUUAAAGCAGGCUCACGCUUGAAUACAUUAGCAUGGAAUAAUGAAAUAGGACGUUUGAUCCUAUUUUGUUGGCUUCUAGGAUUGACGUAAUGAUUAAUAGGGAUAGUUGGGGCAUUAGUAUUCAAUUGUCAGAGGUGAAAUUCUUGGAUUUAUUGAAG
This 359-nucleotide ribosomal RNA is filed under the name uncultured Glomus. RNAcentral describes it as "SSU rRNA". It matches the Rfam family "Eukaryotic small subunit ribosomal RNA", at positions 569 to 934 of the family's 1831-position model. The record is from RNAcentral. Lineage: Eukaryota; Fungi; Glomeromycota; Glomeromycetes; Glomerales; Glomeraceae.